This 598-nucleotide long non-coding RNA is filed under the name Physcomitrium patens. RNAcentral's name for it is "long non-coding RNA (PPAT_LNC000066)". Lineage: Eukaryota; Viridiplantae; Streptophyta; Bryopsida; Funariales; Funariaceae. The record is from RNAcentral.
AUUCAAUGAUUCAAAAAGGAGAUAUUGGCACUAGAAGUUCAAUAUUUAGAUUGGAGUAGGAGAACAACCAAUACCUAAGCGGAAUUAAGGAUUGAUCUUCUAUUUGAUAAGUUUGAUCUUCUUCAAAUUUUAUGUGCUUAUUGCCAAUUUAUUUUUUGAAAGGUGUAUAAAAUCUUAAGUAAGAUCAAUGGUAUAAUUGAUAGAUAUUGAGGUUCUAAACUGCCCUAAGAUUAGAUUAAUUUGAUUAGGAUUUGGUUUAAGAUUUAGAAAUUGGUUAGGAUUUAGGGUUUUUUUAGGAUUUAUUUAGGAUUUAACUUAGGAUUAAAAUAAGGACUGUUAGGAUUUUAACUAGAACUAAAUUAAUAUUUGGUUGGAAUUUAUUUAAUAUAUAUUUUAGAUUUUAUUCUAAUACUUCUUUUGAAUUUUUUUAGGAUUUCUUCAUACUUUUUUUGUAAUUUUUUUGAGGUUUCUUUGGAUUUGAUUAAAGCUUGAUUAGCAUUACUAAAGUUUAAUUGGAGUUAUUUAGGAUUCUGUUAGAAUUAAAAGCUUAUUGUAAUAUUCUUUUUACCUUCUAUAGCUAGGUGCUUGAUGUAUUUUC